This 174-nucleotide antisense RNA is filed under the name Neisseria animaloris. RNAcentral describes it as "NrrF RNA". It matches the Rfam family "NrrF RNA". Lineage: Bacteria; Pseudomonadati; Pseudomonadota; Betaproteobacteria; Neisseriales; Neisseriaceae. The record is from Rfam by way of RNAcentral.
UCACUCGGAAGUUAUCCUGAAUCCGAGCCAUUAAACACCGAACAGCUUAUUCCCCCUUUUCUUUCAUCCUUUUUUCAUACGGAGUGUGUGUAUACGAAAGAUACAGUUCCCUUGACAUCAAAUACUCAAAACCGAAAACACAAACCCGCUGCCUGAACAGCGGGUUUGUGUUUU